This 253-nucleotide ribosomal RNA is filed under the name uncultured bacterium. RNAcentral's name for it is "partial 16S ribosomal RNA". It matches the Rfam family "Bacterial small subunit ribosomal RNA", at positions 524 to 776 of the family's 1533-position model. The record is from RNAcentral.
UACGUAGGGGGCAAGCGUUGUCCGGAAUCAUUGGGCGUAAAGAGCGUGUAGGCGGCCCGAUAAGUCCGCUGUGAAAGUCAAGGGCUUAACCCUUGAAUGCCGGUGGAAACUGUCGGGCUAGAGUCCGGAAGAGGCGAGUGGAAUUCCUGGUGUAGCGGUGAAAUGCGCAGAUAUCAGGAAGAACACCCGUGGCGAAGGCGGCUCUCUGGGACGGUACUGACGCUGAGACGCGAAAGCGUGGGGAGCGAACAGG